UCUCCUACGGGAGGCAGCAGGCGCGAAAACUUUACAAUGCGGGAAACCGUGAUAAGGGAAUCUCGAGUGCCAGCAUAUAAUGUUGGCUGUCCAGAUGCCUAAAAAGCAUCUGUUAGCAAGGGCCGGGCAAGACCGGUGCCAGCCGCCGCGGUAACACCGGCGGCCCGAGUGGUAACCGUUAUUAUUGGGUCUAAAGGGUCUGUAGCCGGCCAAGUAAGUCCCUUGGGAAAUCUGGCAGCUCAACUGUCAGGCUGCUAGGGGAUACUGUUUGGCUUGGGACCGGGAGAGGUGAGAGGUACCUUGGGGGUAGGGGUGAAAUCUUGUGAUCCUCGGGGGACCACCAGUGGCGAAGGCGUCUCACCAGAACGGGUCCGACGGUAAGGGACGAAAGCUAGGGGCACGAACCGGAUUAGAUACCCGGGUAGUCCUAGCCGUAAACGAUGCUCGCUAGGUGUCAGUCACGGUGCUGACCGUG
Molecule: ribosomal RNA, 475 nt
Filed under: uncultured Methanosaeta sp.
Lineage: Archaea; Methanobacteriati; Methanobacteriota; Methanomicrobia; Methanotrichales; Methanotrichaceae
Description: bacterial SSU rRNA
Rfam family: Archaeal small subunit ribosomal RNA
Source: RNAcentral